CCGUUGCCGGCGACCGGCGCACGGGUGAGUAACACGUAUGCAACCUGCCCGUGGCAGGGGGAUAAGCGGGGGAAACCCCGUCUAAUACCGCGUAACGCGGCCUUGGGGCAUCCCAAGGCCGCCAAAGGGAGCAAUCCCGGCCACGGAUGGGCAUGCGGCGCAUUAGCUAGUCGGCGGGGUAACGGCCCACCGAGGCGACGAUGCGUAGGGGUUCUGAGAGGAAGGCCCCCCACACUGGUACUGAGACACGGACCAGACUCCUACGGGAGGCAGCAG
RNAcentral lists this ribosomal RNA (276 nucleotides) under uncultured bacterium. RNAcentral describes it as "partial 16S ribosomal RNA". It matches the Rfam family "Bacterial small subunit ribosomal RNA", at positions 82 to 354 of the family's 1533-position model. The record is from RNAcentral.